Molecule: ribosomal RNA, 1214 nt
Filed under: metagenome
Description: bacterial SSU rRNA
Rfam family: Bacterial small subunit ribosomal RNA
Source: RNAcentral
AGAGUUUGAUCCUGGCUCAGGACGAACGCUGGCGGCGUGCCUAACACAUGCAAGUCGAGCGAGGAAGAGGAGAUAGCUUGCUAACUCCUGUUUCUAGCGGCGGACGGGUGAGUAACGCGUGAGCAACCUGCCUUUAUCAGGGGGAUAACGCAUCGAAAGAUGUGCUAAUACCGCGUAAGACCACAGCCUCACAUGGGGCAGGGGUCAAAGGAGGAAUCCGGAUAAAGAUGGGCUCGCGUCCGAUUAGCUAGUUGGUGAGAUAACAGCCCACCAAGGCGACGAUCGGUAGCCGACCUGAGAGGGUGAUCGGCCACAUUGGAACUGAGAGACGGUCCAGACUCCUACGGGAGGCAGCAGCGGGGAAUAUUGGGCAAUGGGCGAAAGCCUGACCCAGCAACGCCGCGUGAGGGAAGAAGGGUUUCGGCUCGUAAACCUCUGUCCUAUGGGACGAAGGAAGUGACGGUACCAUAGGAGGAAGCCCCGGCUAACUACGUGCCAGCAGCCGCGGUAAUACGUAGGGGGCGAGCGUUGUCCGGAAUGAUUGGGCGUAAAGGGCGCGUAGGCGGCCUGCUAAGUCUGAAGUGAAAGUCCUGCUUUCAAGGUGGGAAGUGCUUUGGAUACUGGUGGGCUGGAGUGCAGGAGAGGAAAGCGGAAUUACCGGUGUAGCGGUGAAAUGCGUAGAGAUCGGUAGGAACACCAGUGGCGAAGGCGGCUUUCUGGACUGAAACUGACGCUGAGGCGCGAAAGCGUGGGGAGCAAACAGGAUUAGAUACCCUGGUAGUCCACGCGGUAAACGAUGAAUGCUAGGUGUAGGAGGUAUCGACCCCUUCUGUGCCGCAGUAAACACAAUAAGCAUUCCGCCUGGGGAGUACGGCCGCAAGGUUGAAACUCAAAGGAAUUGACGGGGGCCCGCACAAGCAGCGGAGCAUGUGGUUUAAUUCGAAGCAACGCGAAGAACCUUACCAGGUCUUGACAUCCGUGUAAAGCCGCAGAGAUGCGGUGUGAGCUUGCUCAAUACGAGACAGGUGGUGCAUGGUUGUCGUCAGCCCGUGUCGUGAGAUGUUGGGUUAAGUCCCGCAACGAGCGCAACCCUUAUCGUCCGUUACUAACAGGCAAUGCUGAGGACUCAGACGAGACCGCCGGGGACAACUCGGAGGAAGGUGGGGACGACGUCAAAUCAUCAUGCCCCUUACGACCUGGGCUACACACGUGCU